This is a non-coding RNA of Pimephales promelas (fathead minnow), 872 nucleotides long. The record is from RefSeq and is a predicted model, not a curated record. Lineage: Eukaryota; Metazoa; Chordata; Actinopteri; Cypriniformes; Leuciscidae.
CGCGAGGGCCGGACAACCUGCCACUCACAUGACAUCACAGCAAUAGCAACGACCAUCCAAUCAAUUCCCAAAGGACAAAAUCAAUUUUUAUUCCAAGUAUAUUUAGUAUAUUUCACAGUUUCCAAAUAUAUAUAUAUAUAUACAUCAAAUUAACGUUUCUGUGAAGUAUGUGUGUUAUCAGGGACUAAAUGUCUAAAUACACGCGAGCGAGCGAACAAGUCACGUCGUAGUAACGUUAUGGUAACGUUGCGUUUAGCAUCUGAUGUCGACGACUGAAAGGUACUGUGCCAGAUUGGGUGUGUCCUAUGAUGGAGUGAGCCAGCUGUGUUUAUGAGUCCACCACACAUCAGAAUCUCGCCACAUUCUCUUGGCUGUCCAGUUUCGCAGUGUCAUGACUGGCAAUGAGGUACUGAGGGAAGUGGAACUGGAUCCACAAAGUAGGCUACACUUCAAUAAAAACAGACAUGUGUGGCAACAGUGAGAUGCAUGGACCACCAGUACAUAUUGAAAAAACAUCAACUAAGAUUGAUGGUUGUGGUGACACGCUGAUUAGUAUUACUAUAUUCCCAUAUAUUGAAGUACACUGAAAACUUGUCAAUGAAACACUUAGAGUAAAUACUACCACUAGUAUUCCAUCACAUGUGUAGCUAGUAGUUCUUUGCUUUGAUUGCCAAGACUGGAGACAAAUUCUGCUAUAUUUAAUCAUAGCUGGCUAUAAUAUUACAUAUCAAAAUACAGGAUACUCCAAACGCUGCAGAUUACAUUGGGUGUGAAUUAGGAGAGGGAGUGGCUAGUGCCCGCUAUAAUACAUUAGACAUUUAUGCAUUUAGUAUAUUGAGACAUUUCAUACAUUGCACAUUUAUUCAUAUUUU